Capra hircus (goat) is the source of this 73-nucleotide small nucleolar RNA. The record is from Ensembl. Lineage: Eukaryota; Metazoa; Chordata; Mammalia; Artiodactyla; Bovidae.
CGGAUCAAUGAUGACUACUCGUGUUGUAUGAGCCGUGUAUGGUAAAUAACGUGUCUGAAACCCUGAGGCUUGU